Molecule: transfer RNA, 74 nt
Filed under: Kofleriaceae bacterium
Lineage: Bacteria; Pseudomonadati; Myxococcota; Haliangiales; Kofleriaceae
Description: tRNA-Arg
Rfam family: tRNA
About the family: Transfer RNA (tRNA) molecules are approximately 80 nucleotides in length. Their secondary structure includes four short double-helical elements and three loops (D, anti-codon, and T loops). Further hydrogen bonds mediate the characteristic L-shaped molecular structure. tRNAs have two regions of fundamental functional importance: the anti-codon, which is responsible for specific mRNA codon recognition, and the 3' end, to which the tRNAs corresponding amino acid is attached (by aminoacyl-tRNA synthetases). tRNAs cope with the degeneracy of the genetic code in two manners: having more than one tRNA (with a specific anti-codon) for a particular amino acid; and 'wobble' base-pairing, i.e. permitting non-standard base-pairing at the 3rd anti-codon position.
Source: RNAcentral
GAUCCCAUAGCUCAGUUGGAUAGAGCAACCGUUUCCUAAACGGUAGGUCACAAGUUCGAUUCUUGUUGGGAUCA